GAUGAACGCUGACAGAAUGCUUAACACAUGCAAGUCAACUUGAACUUCGGUUUGGGUGGCGGACGGGUGAGUAACGCGUAAAGAACUUGCCUCACAGUUAGGGACAACAUUUGGAAACGAAUGCUAAUACCUGAUAUUAUGAUUUUAGGGCAUCCUAGAAUUAUGAAAGCUAUAUGCGCUGUGAGAGAGCUUUGCGUCCCAUUAGCUAGUUGGAGAGGUAACGGCUCACCAAGGCGAUGAUGGGUAGCCGGUCUGAGAGGGUGAACGGCCACAAGGGGACUGAGACACGGCCCUUACUCCUACGGGAGGCAGCAGUGGGGAAUAUUGGACAAUGGACCAAGAGUCUGAUCCAGCAAUUCUGUGUGCACGAUGAAGUUUUUCGGAAUGUAAAGUGCUUUCAGUUGGGAAGAAAAAAAUGACGGUACCAACAGAAGAAGAGACGGCUAAAUACGUG
This 454-nucleotide ribosomal RNA is filed under the name uncultured bacterium. RNAcentral's name for it is "partial 16S ribosomal RNA". It matches the Rfam family "Bacterial small subunit ribosomal RNA", at positions 28 to 507 of the family's 1533-position model. The record is from RNAcentral.